This 484-nucleotide ribosomal RNA is filed under the name uncultured bacterium. Its description in RNAcentral is "partial 16S ribosomal RNA". It matches the Rfam family "Bacterial small subunit ribosomal RNA", at positions 28 to 523 of the family's 1533-position model. The record is from RNAcentral.
GACGAACGCUGGCGGCGUGCUUAACACAUGCAAGUCGAACGAUGAAGCCGGAGCUUGCUCUGGUGAAUUAGUGGCGAACGGGUGAGUAACACGUGAGUAACCUGCCCUUGACUCUGGGAUAACUGCUAGAAAUGGUAGCUAAUACCGGAUACGACCCUCGGCGGCAUCGCCAGGGGGUGGAAAGAAUUUCGGUCAAGGAUGGACUCGCGGCCUAUCAGCUAGUUGGUGAGGUAACGGCUCACCAAGGCGACGAAGGGUAGCCGGCCUGAGAGGGUGACCGGCCACACUGGGACUGAGACACGGCCCAGACUCCUACGGGAGGCAGCAGUGGGGAAUAUUGCACAAUGGGCGCAAGCCUGAUGCAGCAACGCCGCGUGAGGGAUGACGGCCUUCGGGUUGUAAACCUCUUUUAGUAGGGAAGAAGCGAAAGUGACGGUACCUGCAGAAAAAGCACCGGCUAACUACGUGCCAGCAGCCGCAGUAA